CCUACGGGAGGCAGCAGUAGGGAAUAUUGCGCAAUGGAGGAAACUCUGACGCAGCGACGCCGCGUGGGUGACGAAGGUCUUCGGAUCGUAAAGCCCUGUCGGAGGGGACGAAAGACACCAAGAUAAUACCUUGGUGGGAUGACGGUACCCUUAAAGGAAGCACCGGCUAACUACGUGCCAGCAGCCGCGGUAAUACGUAGGGUGCAAGCGUUGUUCGGAAUCAUUGGCGUAAAGCGUGUGUAGGUGGCUUGCUAAGUUGAUUGUGAAAUCCCUGGGCUCAACCGAGGAAGUGCAGUCAAAACUAGUAGGCUAGAAGAUGGCAGAGGAAGGUGGAAUUCCAAGUGUAGAGGUGAAAUUCGUAGAUAUUUGGAGGAAUACCGGCGGCGAAGGCGGCCUUCUGGACCAUUCUUGACACUGAGACACGAAAGCGUGGGUAGCAAACAGGCUUAGAUACCCUGGUAGUCCACCCCGUAAACGUUGGGAACUAGUUGUGGGGUCCAUUCCACGGAUUCCGUGACGCAGCUAACGCAUUAAGUUCCCCGCCUGGGGAGUACGGCCGCAAGGCUAAAACUCAAAGGAAUUGACGGGGACCCGCACAAGCGGCGGAGCAUGCGGAUUAAUUCGAUGCAACGCGAAGAACCUUACCAAGGCUUGACAUAUACGAGAACGGGCCAGAAAUGGUCAACUCUUUGGACACUCGUAAACAGGUGGUGCAUGGUUGUCGUCAGCUCGUGUCGUGAGAUGUUGGGUUAAGUCCCGCAACGAGCGCAACCCUCGUUCUAUGUUGCCAGCACGUAAUGGUGGGAACUCAUGGGAUACUGCCCGGGGUCAACUCGGAGGAGGUGGGGAUGACGUCAAAUCAUCAUGCCCCUUAUGUCUUGGGCUUCACGCAUGCUACAUGGCCGGUACAAAGGGCUGCAUACCGUAAAGGUGGAGCGAAUCCCAAAAGCCGGUCCAGUUCGGAU
RNAcentral lists this ribosomal RNA (965 nucleotides) under uncultured bacterium. RNAcentral describes it as "bacterial SSU rRNA". It matches the Rfam family "Bacterial small subunit ribosomal RNA", at positions 338 to 1298 of the family's 1533-position model. The record is from RNAcentral.